GACGAACGCUGGCGGCGUGCUUAACACAUGCAAGUCGAACGGAAAGGCCCUGCUUUUGCGGGGUGCUCGAGUGGCGAACGGGCGAGUAACACGUGAGUAACCUGCCCUUGACUUUGGGAUAACUUCAGGAAACUCGGGCUAAUACCGGAUAGGAGCUCCUGCUGCAUGGUGGGGUUUGGAAAGUUUCGGCGGUUGGGGAUGGACUCGCGGCUUAUCAGCUUGUUGGUGGGGUAGUGGCUUACCAAGGCUUUGACGGGUAGCCGGCCUGAGAGGGUGACCGGCCACAUUGGGACUGAGAUGCGGCCCAGACUCCUACGGGAGGCAGCAGUGGGGAAUAUUGCACAAUGGGCGGAAGCCUGAUGCAGCAGCGCCGCGUGCGGGAUGACGGCCUUCGGGUUGUAAACCGCUUUCGCCUGUGACGAAGCGUGAGUGACGGUAAUGGGUAAAGAAGCACCGGCUAACUACGUG
Molecule: ribosomal RNA, 468 nt
Filed under: uncultured bacterium
Lineage: Bacteria
Description: partial 16S ribosomal RNA
Rfam family: Bacterial small subunit ribosomal RNA
Source: RNAcentral